This 107-nucleotide small nucleolar RNA is filed under the name Gossypium hirsutum (cotton). Its description in RNAcentral is "Plant small nucleolar RNA R71". It matches the Rfam family "Plant small nucleolar RNA R71". Rfam says of the family: R71 is a member of the C/D box family of snoRNAs containing the C (UGAUGA) and D (CUGA) box motifs. Multiple nearly identical copies of this snoRNA have been identified in Arabidopsis, and it is thought to function as a 2'-O-ribose methylation guide for 18S ribosomal RNA. Lineage: Eukaryota; Viridiplantae; Streptophyta; Magnoliopsida; Malvales; Malvaceae. The record is from Rfam by way of RNAcentral.
AUUCCAUGAUGAGGGCAUUUCUGUAAUAGCUCUUUGUAUCAUUUCCAUGCCUCAUACAAGGACUCAUCAUCCAUUUGUUGGAAAGUAGUGAUCUCGUUCCUCAACUU